CAUUUCUACUCAGACGAAAAGUCAGUUAUCUACUAUUUCUGCCCAUAAUACUAACAUUGUUAGCACUGCUUUCUUUGCCUGCAUGUUCAAGUCUAUAGUUGACAGCCAUUGCCUCUAACUGUGAUCCUUACCUCUUUGGUUUUCUGGAUCUCAGCUCCAAUCCCCUUUCUUUGCAGUUUGAUUUGUGCUCACUGGUAGAUGUGCUACUACUGUAAAAUGCAAAAGACUGCCAUCCUCUCACCACUUAGACCUCGGCAGCUGAGAAACAGGUGGUUGAGGAGGAAAUACGAAGAACAUUUCUUGGAGAUUUUAAAAGAAAAAAGAAUGUUUUUUUUCAACUCCAUGUAGAACAAAAACUGCUACAAUUUUGCAUAAUUUAAAAUUUCUAUGGCUUAAUUGAGUUAUCUCAAUUAAAAACACAAUGAGAAAAUUUCAAUAGAAAAAUUGCCAGAGAAGAAAUAAUUAAAAUAAUUACUAUGUUUAAGAGGAAAUUUCCUGAACUGAGCAUAUUGUUCACAUUAAAAAUCUCAAAUCAUUAUAAUCUACAGUAAUCAUUUCCUUCACAUUGCAAAUACACAAUAACUACUCUGUUCCUAAAUUGGAUGUGGCCUCUUUUGGUAAAGGAAUGGUAGCUCCCCCAAACAGGACAGCUUGAAUGUACUGAUGCCAAGCAUGCCAUGGUAAUUGUUCAGCUGCCCCCAGUUAUUAUAUUUGAUUACAAACCCUACCAAAGAUGGCAAGAAUUUUCUCCCCUGGAGGUAGGAACUUUCAAAGGAUUCAGGAGCUUGGCCUUAUAUCAAAGAGUAUGAUUGGUUACUAAAUACACAGUUGUUAUAUAUUUUGAUAUUAUCACCUCUAUUAGGAAAUUUACCUAGAAUCACAUAAGCAUUUUGUUUCAUAACUUGCUCUAAUUUUCAUUCAUUUGUGUCCUAGGAAAGAAAAAGGACAUUGUGCAUUUAUGAUAAUAUCACAUCUAGUACUACACUGGGCAUAGCAACAUGAGCCAAGGGAGAGGUUUAAAAAAUCUCAGCCAUAAAAAAGAACAACGUAAUGCCAUUUGCAGCAACAUGGAUGGAACUAGAGACUCUCAUACUGAGUGAAAUAAGUAAGAAAGAGAAAGACAAAUACCGUAUGAUAUCACUUAUAACUGGAAUGUAAUAUAUAGCACGAACAAAUGUUUUCACAGAAAAGAAAAUCAUAGACUUGGAGAAUAGGCUUGUGGCUGCCCAGGAGGAGAGGGAGGGAGUGGGAGGGAUCAGGAGCUUGGGGUUAGCGGAUGCAAACUAUUGCUCUUGGAAUGGAUUUGCAAUGAGAUCCUGCUGUGUAGCAUUGAGGACUAAGUCUAGAUACUUACAUCUCAACACAACAAUGGGAGGAAAAAGUAUGUAUACAUGUAUGUGUGACUUGGCCUCCAUGCUGUACAGUGGGAAAAAAUUAAUAAAUAAUACUGUAAGGAUGAUAUAGGGGGUCUACAAAGGUAGGAAAUGAGGACAGAUAGGCAAGUUUGGUGCUAAGUCUAUGAUGGCCACAAAAAGAGAUGGGACAAGGCACAGAAAGGCAAAAAGAAUGUAAAUCUGCAAAGGUCAUAAACAAAGAACAAGUGAGUCUUUAAGAGCUAUAUCCUUUAAAGAGGUCACAAUACCUGAUUUUAGGGCAAAUAUAUCCUCAGUCCUGUGGUGAUAUAGUCAUGUAAAAACUAACAGGUGCAAGAUAUAAUGAGAGGAUAUGCACUGCAGUGAAGCUUACAAUGAAAAGAAAGCACUAGUUCCUCUAAAGAUCUUUUAUAUAGGUGAAAUUUUCCUUUUCCCUUUUUUGGGGGGUGGGGGAAAAUCCCUACUUAUUAUUUCCCAAUGUUUUGGCAUUGAGCAACAGCAGUACAAGAUAUAUUGACCUUGAAGUCUCUAAGUAGAGCAAAGAAGCCCCAGUGUAUAUUAUUUUCCCUCAUCGUGAGAGAAAAAUAAUCACUGCAUUUGUUGAGCACUGUUUUGGUUAUCAAUUACUAUGUAAUAAAUUACCCCAAACUUAAAAUCAUAGUGGCUUACCUUAAAACUUUGUGGCUUAAGAAAACCAUUAUCUCUCGAAUUGACCUGGCACACCUGAGUGGGGGAUUCUUCUCUUCCAUGUAGAGUUGACUAGGGCUGCAGUUCUCUGGAGGUUUGACUGGCCUGCAGUAUUCAAGAUAGCUCACUCCCAUGGUGCUUGGUACUGCCUAUUAGCUGAGAUGGGACUGUCAAACCAAGUACCUUGGGUUUCCUCCACAUAACCUUAGUAUCUGGCUUGGGCUUCUCAUGGCUCAGUGGCUGGACUGAAAGAAGGAACGUUUCCAGCUGAGAGUGAAAGCUGAAUAUCUCCUAAGGCCCAGCCUUGGAGAUUAUACAGCAACAUAGCUGCUGCAUUCUUUUGGCCUAAGCAAGUCACAGGAGUGGCUCAGAUUCAAGGGGGGAGAAAUAGACUCCAUUGUUCGAUGAGAGGCAUGGCAAAGAAUGUUGUAGCCAUCUUUAUUUCACUGAGACUACCUACUAUGUUCUUAGCAUUCUGGUAAGCGCUUUAUCCACUAUAAAUUAUAUAAACCUCAGAACCACAGACCUUGUUAAAUACCAUUAUCCUCAGUUGGUCAAUUAGGAAAUUUGAUGAUUGGAGAUACUCAUCUGUAGAGUUAAUAAAUAGGUGAAAUAGGAUUUGGAUCCAAGUCUGUCUCCACAGCCCCAGUAAGCUAUAGAGUAUAGAGAUGACAACUGCUUAUACAUUUAUUAAGAAUGUUGUAUGGUUCUAUUAGUAGAUCCCAAACUGUUGAGUCCUCUUCCCCAGUCCUUUUAAGAUUAUUGUUUUGUUUUGUUUUUUAAAGUUAUAAAGGCUACAUUGGCUAAAUUGUCCAAAAAUUUCCAAAAUAACAAUUUUCUAUACUAGUUCACUUUGCUUCUCCUGGUUCUUCCCAGUAAAUGUGUGUGCAGAGUUCUUGCCACUCAGAAAAUUACAAAGAAAGAUUAGGGAAAAUUACAUGCCUCUACAUUUUUCAGUCAUGGCCAGUUCUGGCCUGAUCAAAUAUACUUAAUGAUAGAGCCCUAUAGAAAUGUGCCUAGCUGAAUUGAAAGUAACUAUUAUUAUGAUUAAUUUAAAUCCAAAUGAAUUGUCCUAUAAAAUAUGCAUAGACAUCUAAAAUUUGAAGCCCAUAAAAAUGAUUCCCUUAAAUCAUUUUCUUUGAGUAUUUUGUCCAUUUCUGAUUCUGUUUUUAAGACUAGAAAAACUGUGUGAAGAAAAGGAGCCUUCAGUCAAAAGUAGUUUUGUUCAUAGAAACAGCUGGCUGACUGGGUAUCUUUUCUGCAUCAGUUUACAUUUCCACCAUAUAGAUCAAUUAUGUGACUGUCACUUAUGAAAGAGAGUUACAGAAAAGUUGGAACCGUUUGAAGCUUUGAAACUCAUUUGCAAGGAAAGAUUAAAAGACUAGUGUGAUUUAGUUUCACCUUGAGAAGAAAAGAUUGGGGGGGGGGAGUACUUCCACUGAGAGGAAGAAUAUCUACAUUCUGUUGCAAGUAAGACAUAUUUGAAUGUGUUGAAAUGAUAGUGGGAUGGUUAGACUCCUAUACAGGUAAACUUUACCAGGAGCAAUAGUGUGAAGUGCUGGACUAGACUUUGAAAUAAGGAGGUACUCUUACCACUAGCUCUUUUACAAACAAUGAAGAUUCUCAUAUUAUUUGUGAUGUUGAGGGAACGGAUUCUGCAUGAAGGCAUGGAAUUGGAGGCAUUUGUCUGCAAAAGUUCUGGUGGCUUAUGAUUUUAUGAAAUGUUUUUGAGUAUGUAUCUUUGGGUGACUGCUUGGGAAUAUGAAAGCCAGCAAAAUUAGCUAGAUUCCUCAAGGCCAUUGGCUGAAUCUGUGAUAAUAAAACAGAGGGUACUAGAAGAUGACCUCUUCCUUCUUUCUUUAGGAGAUUCUACCCUUUGUAGAAGGAUAAAAGGAAAAAGGAAAUGAAGAAAGAAUAGAAAGUCAGGAUGAUCUAACUGCAUUCAGUAAUCCAUCCAAGCUCUUUAGAAAUGUAGCAGUAUAAUUUUCCUGUUUUUGGUCAAGAAUAGUUCAGUGCAGAUAUUCAGCAAAUAUCAGGCUUUGGAGUCCUCUCCUGAGUCUUCUGUUUCAUGCAGGGAGAAUGGAGGAGGACAUACAGAAUUGUGGAGCAGAUCUAUAUGAGUCCUGACUUCUGCCACACAUUCAUUAGUCUGAAUUCAGUCAUAUGACUAUAUCUUAUCACAAGAGAGACUAGUACAUGUAAACUGAACUGUGUGCCCAGGAUGUGUGUGUGUGUGUGUACACGUGCAUGUGUGCACACUCAUGCACAAGUGGGAGAAAAAGUGACAAAGCAAAGAACAGAUUUAAACAGACUUUCUUUCAAGGUACUUGUUAAGCAUGAGCUUUGGCACUGCCAGUGUAAUACUAGAAUGGAUUAGUACUUCAAGCACAAGACCAUUUUUUAAUUCUUUAAAAAUAUACUCUAGGAGUUCCCAUCGUGGCGCAGCGGUUAACGAAUAUGACUAGGAACCAUGAGGUUGCGGGUUGGGUCCCUGCCCUUGCUCAGUGGGUUAACGAUCCGGCCUUGCCUUGAGCUGUGGUGAAGCUUGCAGACGCAGCUCAGAUCCAGCGUUGCUGUGGCUCUGGUGUAGGCUGGAAGCUAUAGCUCAGAUUAGACCCCCUAGCCUGGGAACCUCCAUAUGCCGCAGGAGCGGCCCAAGAAAUAGCAAAAAG
RNAcentral lists this long non-coding RNA (4732 nucleotides) under Sus scrofa (pig). RNAcentral's name for it is "lncRNA (ENSSSCG00005032714.1)". The record is from RNAcentral. Lineage: Eukaryota; Metazoa; Chordata; Mammalia; Artiodactyla; Suidae.